This 490-nucleotide ribosomal RNA is filed under the name Malassezia globosa. RNAcentral describes it as "partial large subunit ribosomal RNA". It matches the Rfam family "Eukaryotic large subunit ribosomal RNA", at positions 120 to 612 of the family's 3401-position model. Lineage: Eukaryota; Fungi; Basidiomycota; Malasseziomycetes; Malasseziales; Malasseziaceae. The record is from RNAcentral.
AGCUGGCACCUCCGGUGUCCGCGUUGUAAUCUCGAGACGUGUUUUCCGUGCGGCUCUAUGGACAAGUCCCUUGGAAUAGGGCAUCGUAGAGGGUGAGAAUCCCGUACUUGCCAUGGAAGAACCGUGCUUUGCGAUACACGCUCUAAGAGUCGAGUUGUUUGGGAUUGCAGCUCAAAAUGGGUGGUAGACUCCAUCUAAAGCUAAAUAUCGGGGAGAGACCGAUAGCGAACAAGUACCGUGAGGGAAAGAUGAAAAGCACUUUGGAAAGAGAGUUAAAAGUACGUGAAAUUGUCGAAAGGGAAGCACUUGAAGUCAGCCAUGCUGCUUGAGACUCAGCCUGGCCUUUGGGCUUGGUGUAUUUCUCGGUGGCAAGCCAGCAUUGGUUUGGGUCGUCGGAGAAGCGCAUAGGGAAUGUAGCGUCCCCGGACGUGUUAUAGCCUUAUGCAGGAUACGACGACCUGGAUCAAGGAACGCAGUGUGCCCUCUGGGC